AAAGCCUGACAAGAACAAAUUGCCGGUCUGGUGGUCGACGGAGGGCAUCUAUUUCAGUGUACCUCCAUCCGGAUGUGGACCUCCAGGUGCUACUCCAAUGGGAGGAGCCAGUGGAGCAGCUCCUGGUGCUAUUCCUACGAUACGAUGGUGGUUCCGUCGGUGGUCAGCGGAUGGACGGAGCAUAAGGCUCCGGACAAACGAACCUAGCAUGUCACCAAGCAAAGCUCAUGGGAAAAGCUGGACGAACUUUCACCAGCAGAAAAAUUGCAGUCCCCGUGUCUCUGGACGAAGUACCGGUCCGAUCAAGGUGAUACCAACCUCAAACGGUUUAGAUUAUCAAGUAUGAAGGAGCAAGAGUGGACGCUGGAGAGAAAGUAAAAAAUAGAUCCGGCAAGCUUCCUUUUAUUUUCAUUCGGAAUUGGACUGUGGUCUCUUAUGCUCGGUACCAAACAAGCCACGGUAGAACAAAACGACACUAUCGAGUUCUUCUAAAGAUUCUUGACAGAAAGUGUACGAGCGCGAGUUAUUUGCAAAGUUCUGCCGUGGGGACCGGAUAUACCUGCUACCUGCGAGAUAACUUGCUAAGUGCAAACAACGACCGAUAAUUUGCCACAAAAACUACCGAGGAGCAACAACUUCCGUCUCAGCUCCGAGGAAAAACACGGUGCACGGUGUCAAGUACAUUAUCGAGUCAUUUUUGGCUGCAUCCGGAACGUUGUCCUGCGCUCGGGGAAGGCGGCCUCGGAUUUGUUUCCCAUCACCCUUCUGAUAGAAACCAAGCUCGGAAACGUCAAGGAGGGUUGCCGCAACAAGUGCCACUCCCACUGUAUCUGUUCUGCAUCGGGUCUCCGUGCAUCAGUCACUAUUACGGCUUCUCCUGUGACUGCCUCGGGACCAAGUAUGAGGGCUGUGAUAUUUAUUGAUAUAGAAACCAUCGAUAGAUCCGAACAGAAGUCAACAACCCAAUAAUACGGACGAAGAUCAGCUGGUUCUCAAAUGAAACAUCAAAACAUCAUCACCUGGCAGAUGGCAGAGGUUAUCGAUCAAAGUUAAAACCUCUGUACGGCUGGCAGGAAGCCGUGAUUCGGGCUCCAAAGGGCAGAUCAAGGAUUUUCCAGAAGCAGAAGAAAAAGGAAGAGAGAGGAUGAACCCUCGGAUUCAAAAUGUUUCAUUUAAAGCAUUCGUUUCAAUAAUUCGAUUCAACUUCGGAACCACUUGAACGACAAACAUCUCAGCCACAUCUAUAAAUGCCCGUCUUGUAAGCAGAGUUUUCCCCAAACCAAAAUAAUGGAUUGCAAUAUUCAUUUGAGCACACAUGUCGAGAGAAAUAAUCCCAGCCGGAACGAAAAGAUUGCUGCCAAGGAGGAACAUCGUCGUAAAGAACAAGUGGAGUACCAUCAUCGGCAGGAAAAAUUGCGCAAACAGGACGAGGAACGUCCCAAAGAAAAGGAAGCCCGCGAGAGCCCGUUCACGUUUCGCUAGCUGAACAACAAGAAUAUACUUUCGCUGCAGCAAUCCGACCUCAGGAUCAUCGCAGUGCCAAACCGAUGAACGGGAUGAACCACGUCGAUACGCUCAACAUACUGAACAAGGUUUAUGCCAUCCACAUCCACAUCCUGCUCGAUAGCCCCCUGGCCAAUGAAACCUAUGAGCUGGUCGAAAUAUUGCAUAUCGCCGUUGAAGGUGAACGGGAUGCAGAUGAGCCAAAUCGACAUCUUUGCCAUCGGUCGGUGCCAUGAGCAGGACACGAGAGAUUCUGGGAGCGUCCAGUGCAUCCCAAUUGCCCCUACCGACGGACGAUCUGCUGAGGCUCUUGGGUCGCUGGAGAUCUAAACAAAGCCAGCGUCAGUGGCAAAACCAGCAGCAGCUGAUUUCGGCGGCCGGCAGCGGACACUGUUAGUGGUUCUGGGUCAGCAGCAAUCAGGUCUUCAAAAGGAUUACCACCAGCAGCAUAAUCGAAAUUACAAAAAUUUCGCUAACAUAUCCGGCAAUUGAAGUGCUCACAUAAAAAAGUACGAUUAUUAUAUCUUAUAAAUGUAUACAAAAUUUUUUGUUUUCAAAAUAAAGAAACAGAGUGACAGUAAAAUGGCUGAAUUGAAAUUCAUGAUGACGCAAUGAUGAAAUAAAUAAAAACAAAUUCCUACAUGACGGCAAUUCGAUCGAAAUCGUACCAAUUUUUGUCUGGUUUUUGGCUGAAAACGAACCGAUUUAGUCCGAAAUCGGGCCAAUUUGGUUCGAAGUCGAACUCAUUUCCAUCCGAAAUCGGUCGGGAUUGGAUCAGAAAAUGAACUGAUUGUUUUGACAGCUCACUCGCAAAAACUUAUCGUCGUCAGGAAAGUUGUGUCACCAGGG
Long non-coding RNA from Uranotaenia lowii, 2352 nucleotides. RefSeq lists it as uncharacterized. Lineage: Eukaryota; Metazoa; Arthropoda; Insecta; Diptera; Culicidae. The transcript is spliced from 5 exons. The record is from RefSeq and is a predicted model, not a curated record.